Molecule: ribosomal RNA, 224 nt
Filed under: uncultured bacterium
Lineage: Bacteria
Description: partial 16S ribosomal RNA
Rfam family: Bacterial small subunit ribosomal RNA
Source: RNAcentral
GAUGAACGCUAGCGGCAGGCUUAAUACAUGCAAGUCGAGGGCAGCAGGGGUGUAGCAAUGCACUCGCUGGCGACCGCAACGGGUGCGGAACACGUACGCAAUCUACCCAAAACUGGUGAAUAGCCCUCCGAAAGGAGGAUUAAUACACCGGUAACUUAAUGAAGUGGCAUCACUUUACUAAUAUAGCUCCGGCGGUUUUGGAUGAGCGUGCGCCUGAUUAGGUA